GAUGAACGCUGGCGGCGUGCCUAAUACAUGCAAGUCGAGCGAACGGACGAGAAGCUUGCUUCUCUGAUGUUAGCGGCGGACGGGUGAGUAACACGUGGAUAACCUACCUAUAAGACUGGGAUAACUUCGGGAAACCGGAGCUAAUACCGGAUAAUAUUUUGAACCGCAUGGUUCAAAAGUGAAAGACGGUCUUGCUGUCACUUAUAGAUGGAUCCGCGCUGCAUUAGCUAGUUGGUAAGGUAACGGCUUACCAAGGCAACGAUGCAUAGCCGACCUGAGAGGGUGAUCGGCCACACUGAAACUGAGACACGGUCCAGACUCCUACGGGAGGCAGCAGUAGGGAAUCUUCCGCAAUGGGCGAAAGCCUGACGGAGCAACGCCGCGUGAAUGAUGAAGGUCUUCGGAUCGUAAAACUCUGUUAUUAGGGAAGAACAUAUGUGUAAGUAACUGUGCACAUCUUGACGGUACCUAAUCAGAAAGCCACGGCUAACUACGUG
Molecule: ribosomal RNA, 497 nt
Filed under: uncultured bacterium
Lineage: Bacteria
Description: partial 16S ribosomal RNA
Rfam family: Bacterial small subunit ribosomal RNA
Source: RNAcentral